This 19-nucleotide transfer RNA is filed under the name Aspronema dorsivittatum (Paraguay mabuya). Its description in RNAcentral is "partial tRNA-Thr". Lineage: Eukaryota; Metazoa; Chordata; Lepidosauria; Squamata; Scincidae. The record is from RNAcentral.
GUCUUAGUAGCUUAACAAA